CAGAGUUGCAAAACUCCCAAACCACUGUGAACAUACCCGAGACGUUGCUUCGGUGGGCGGCCCCAGGGCGGGGCCAUCAGCCUAACGGUGCCCACCGGAGGACCAAAACUCUCAGUAUUCAAAUGGUAUCUCUGAGCAACAAACAAAUAAGUCA
RNAcentral lists this unclassified non-coding RNA (154 nucleotides) under uncultured Sordariales. Its description in RNAcentral is "sequence contains ITS1". Lineage: Eukaryota; Fungi; Ascomycota; Sordariomycetes; Sordariales. The record is from RNAcentral.